This 336-nucleotide unclassified non-coding RNA is filed under the name soil metagenome. Its description in RNAcentral is "partial contains 5.8S ribosomal RNA, internal transcribed spacer 2, and large subunit ribosomal RNA". The stretch from base 1 to 120 matches the Rfam family "5.8S ribosomal RNA", at positions 35 to 154 of the family's 154-position model. The record is from RNAcentral.
GAUGAAGAACGUAGCGAAAUGCGAUAAGUAAUGUGAAUUGCAGAAUUCAGUGAAUCAUCGAAUCUUUGAACGCACAUUGCGCCCGCCAGUAUUCUGGCGGGCAUGCCUGUUCGAGCGUCAUUUCAACCAUCAAGCCCCCGGCUUGUGUUGGGGACCUGCGGCUGCCGCAGGCCCUGAAAACCAGUGGCGGGCUCGCUGUCACACCGAGCGUAGUAGAUUUUCAUCUCGCUCAGGGCGUGCUGCGGGUUCCGGCCGUAAAAAGCCUUAUUUACCCAAGGCUGACCUCGGAUCAGGUAGGAAGACCCGCUGAACUUAAGCAUAUCAAUAAGCGGAGGA